This 468-nucleotide ribosomal RNA is filed under the name Triticum aestivum (bread wheat). RNAcentral's name for it is "partial small subunit ribosomal RNA". The record is from RNAcentral. Lineage: Eukaryota; Viridiplantae; Streptophyta; Magnoliopsida; Poales; Poaceae.
AUGCGGCAGCGGCAGCUCGCGGCGGCGGCGAGGCCCAGUUCGCGUUCUCCGGCGUCCUCGCACGACCGGCGCGACAUCCCGCCGGAUCUUUUCAGACUCUGCUUCAAGUGUUUUCGGGAGGGUCAUCGUCCAGAAGACUACACCUUUCAGCCGCUUUGCAUCCGCUGCGGGCUGGAAGGGCACAUCUGUUCGGGGUGCACGCGCCCCAGGAGUCCACGUUCGGAGGAGGAGCUCCGGCGCGAUGCCAUGGCUAAGGUUGCGCGCCACGGCCAGCAGCUGCCGCCAGCGGGACUUGCGGGCAGGCUGUCGCCGGCGACUAGGCAAGUCUCCCCUUGGGACGGCCCUCGUCAGUCGCGGUGGACACCGUACCUGUGGGGUCUUGGCUGGCGCCGCCAGCUGCGGCCAGUGAUGUAUGUGUCAUCUCGCGGACUCCGGAGAUGGACGACAUGGAGUGGCGCCUCCGUUUAG